RNAcentral lists this ribosomal RNA (253 nucleotides) under uncultured bacterium. RNAcentral's name for it is "partial 16S ribosomal RNA". It matches the Rfam family "Bacterial small subunit ribosomal RNA", at positions 524 to 776 of the family's 1533-position model. The record is from RNAcentral.
UACAGAGGUCUCAAGCGUUGUUCGGAUUCAUUGGGCGUAAAGGGUGCGUAGGUGGCAUGGUAAGUUGAAGGUGAAAUCUCGGGGCUUAACUCCGAAACUGCCUUCAAUACUGCUGUGCUUGAGGAUUGUAGAGGAGAAUGGAAUUCACGGUGUAGCAGUGAAAUGCGUAGAUAUCGUGAGGAAGACCAGUGGCGAAGGCGAUUCUCUGGGCAAUUCCUGACACUGAGGCACGAAGGCCAGGGUAGCAAACGGG